RNAcentral lists this ribosomal RNA (482 nucleotides) under uncultured bacterium. RNAcentral describes it as "partial 16S ribosomal RNA". It matches the Rfam family "Bacterial small subunit ribosomal RNA", at positions 30 to 507 of the family's 1533-position model. The record is from RNAcentral.
AUUGAACGCUGGCGGCAUGCUUUACACAUGCAAGUCGAACGGUAACAGGCCGCCAGGUGCUGACGAGUGGCGAACGGGUGAGUAAUGCAUCGGAACAUGCCCAGUCGUGGGGGAUAACUACUCGAAAGAGUAGCUAAUACCGCAUACGAUCUAUGGAUGAAAGCGGGGGACCGUAAGGCCUCGCGCGAUUGGAGCGGCCGAUGUCAGAUUAGGUAGUUGGUGGGGUAAAGGCUCACCAAGCCAACGAUCUGUAGCUGGUCUGAGAGGACGACCAGCCACACUGGGACUGAGACACGGCCCAGACUCCUACGGGAGGCAGCAGUGGGGAAUUUUGGACAAUGGGCGCAAGCCUGAUCCAGCAAUGCCGCGUGCAGGAAGAAGGCCUUCGGGUUGUAAACUGCUUUUGUACGGAACGAAACGGCUCUGGUUAAUACCCGGGGCUAAUGACGGUACCGUAAGAAUAAGCACCGGCUAACUACGUG